AUGUACGGAUUAACCCUGUGAAAGCAGGGCCACGCUCGCAAGAGUGGAACGUGCACAGGUGCUGCAUGGCUGUCGUCAGCUCGUGUCGUGAGAUGUCGCGUUAAGUCGCUAAACGAGCGAAACCCCUAUCUUUUAGUUGCCAGCGCGUCAUGGCGGGGACUCUAAAGAGACUGCCGGUGUCAAACCGGAGGAAGGCGGGGAUGACGUCAAGUCCUCAUGGCCUUUAUGCCCAGGGCUGCACACGUGCUACAAUGGGGCGUACAAAGCGCCGCGAAGUUGCGAAACCAAGCUAAUCGCAAAAAGCGUCCCCCAGUUCGGAUUGAAGGCUGCAAUUCGCCUUCAUGAAGCCGGAAUCGCUAGUAAUCGCCGAUCAGCAUUGCGGCGGUGAAUGUGUUCCUGAGCCUU
This 405-nucleotide ribosomal RNA is filed under the name uncultured Schlesneria sp. RNAcentral describes it as "bacterial SSU rRNA". It matches the Rfam family "Bacterial small subunit ribosomal RNA", at positions 986 to 1382 of the family's 1533-position model. The record is from RNAcentral. Lineage: Bacteria; Pseudomonadati; Planctomycetota; Planctomycetia; Planctomycetales; Planctomycetaceae.